This 24-nucleotide non-coding RNA is filed under the name Arabidopsis thaliana (thale cress). Lineage: Eukaryota; Viridiplantae; Streptophyta; Magnoliopsida; Brassicales; Brassicaceae. The record is from RNAcentral.
UUAACGUGAAUUGUUUAUAUAUGC